UCCGGUUUGUCACCGGCAGUCUCAUUAAAGUGCCCAUCUUUCAUGCUGGCAAUUAAUGACAAGGGUUGCGCUCGUUGCGGGACUUAACCCAACAUCUCACGACACGAGCUGACGACAGCCAUGCAGCACCUGUGCGACCAUUCUCUUGCGAGCACAACUCCAUCUCUGGAGUCUUUGAUCCAUGUCAAGGGUAGGUAAGGUUUUUCGCGUUGCAUCGAAUUAAUCCACAUCAUCCACCGCUUGUGCGGGUCCCCGUCAAUUCCUUUGAGUUUUAAUCUUGCGACCGUACUCCCCAGGCGGUCAACUUCACGCGUUAGCUGCGUUACCAAGACAAUUAAGUCCCGACAACUAGUUGACAUCGUUUAGGGCGUGGACUAC
Molecule: unclassified non-coding RNA, 378 nt
Filed under: uncultured Gammaproteobacteria bacterium
Lineage: Bacteria; Pseudomonadati; Pseudomonadota; Gammaproteobacteria
Description: contains 16S-23S intergenic spacer region
Source: RNAcentral